UACUUAGGGUGCAAGCGUUAAUCGGAAUUACGGGGCGUAAAGCGUGCGCAGGCGGUUUUGUAAGUCUGUCGUGAAAGCCCCUGGCUCAACCUGGGAAUUGCGAUGGAGACUGCAAGGCUUGAAUCUGGCAGAGGGGGGUAGAAUUCCACGUGUAGCAGUGAAAUGCGUAGAGAUGUGGAGGAACACCGAUGGCGAAGGCAGCCCCCUGGGUCAAGAUUGACGCUCAUGCACGAAAGCGUGGGGAGCAAACAGG
RNAcentral lists this ribosomal RNA (253 nucleotides) under uncultured bacterium. RNAcentral's name for it is "partial 16S ribosomal RNA". It matches the Rfam family "Bacterial small subunit ribosomal RNA", at positions 524 to 776 of the family's 1533-position model. The record is from RNAcentral.